This is a long non-coding RNA of Uranotaenia lowii, 1715 nucleotides long. RefSeq lists it as uncharacterized. The transcript has 6 exons. The record is from RefSeq and is a predicted model, not a curated record. Lineage: Eukaryota; Metazoa; Arthropoda; Insecta; Diptera; Culicidae.
CUGAUCUGAUUAAGGUAAUCGUUACUGUCCGUAGCUUCACUAAUCGUGUGUCCAACAUCAUGCGUAUUCGCUAGAGAUUAUAAAGAAUUAUUUCCAAAAGAUACGGUUUAUGGUUGAGAAAAUCUUGACACGCAGUGUGUCUUUACUAUACAGAGAAGUGUCUCGAAUGAAGAAUGGAUUGUGGCGUCACCCGAAAGAAUCCGUAAAAAGCUAUCCUCUAUCCAUGAAUAUUCACGAUAAAACUGGAUCGAAAUAGGCUGCAUGCCUACGAUGGUUCGGAAUCUGGAGCUACGAUCUCUUGCCAGUGGAGUUAAUUGGUCACGCAGAAUUUUGCGGGUUACUGGAAUCGUGCUAAAACUGCCCCUAAACUGGAGGCCCGGAAAAUUACAAGUGUAACUGACAGUGAAGAUUAUUCCGGGAUUCAUGUCUUCAUUAAAAAACUGCUCUCGAUGUCGCUGGAUCGGCAUUGCCGGAAUGAGCACGCACAGCAGGAACAGCUAGCCAGACGCAAAAUUAGGAAUGUUCAUCGACGGAAUGGAAGAAAUGGAUCGAUGCCUUAACGUCAAAAACUCCCGCAUCACACGCAACAUACUGUUGUAUCAAAAAACCUUUGUGUGUGCUUGAUACCGAAAAACAACGUGCCCGUCACCAAGGAUGAGCAGGGAAUUGUGAUGAGCACCAAAAUAGUGACUUAAAAUGCUGUAGCAGCAAUCAUCAUGGGUGUGUCCUAAGAAAAACGAACGCCAGUGCUGGCGCUGUUGCUUGCCACACGCACUCGACUGGCUGUAGGUGAUGCUGCAACAACAGGCUGUAAGUGCUGCAGCUGCAACCGUCCAGGAUGUGGCCGGAGGAAUCGAACAACCGAAAAGAAACAGAAUAAAACACACAGAACCAGCUGGAAUUAAUGCAAUAGGAAUCGCCUGGAGUUGAUAUCAGCAACCGGCUGAAGGCAACAGCAUCAGUUUGAGGAUGGGCCUUUUGUCUUAGCUGGCUAAUGUCCUCGCAGAUUGCACUGGAAAACCUACUUACAACAAUGACAACCUCCAGUAAACCGCUAUGAUCGGCAUGAUGACGACGACGGAAACUAUGGCCAGUGGCGGAAACUGUCGAUCUCAAAAGAAGAGGAUUUAACUUUGUGUAUGCUCCUGUACCAUAUGAGAACAUUGAGUUUACUGUUAAGUUUAACCAGAGGGAAAUGAAACCGUACUCCCACGCGUUUACCUCGUCGCAUAGAGCCAGCAAUAACGACAUCUCCAGACCCGGUUCUGGUGUUCUGAUGAUCGUCCUAGAGUACCAAGACUUUCGGGGUAUCACCAUAUAUUGGUUAAAUAUUCUGAAAACGAAAUUUUGUUCUGGAUGAAUACUGCGAAAUAUUCUAUCUACAAUCAACUUCAGUUAAAAAUUUUCCUAGGCCACUAUUUACCGGAAACAUCAGCCAUAGCCGUACCGUUUGGAUGUCGAUAAAUUUCCCUCUACCAUGCUAUGAAUUUUCUUCGAACAUCUCAUUGAAACGAUUGAUUAUUUUGAAGGAUUUACGACUAGCGAUCCAGAAAUUCAUUUCGUUCCUGAUUGACUGACCAACACUAGCGAAUUCUCUGCUAUGCGACCAAGGACAGGAUCGACAUAUAUUAAGUUAGGAUGCGGUGUUGAAGACUGAAGAGUUGAAACUACUUCGAAUAUUGUGUCAUUAUCAAUCUAAGAAAAAAAUAUUUUAA